AGAGUUUGAUCAUGGCUCAGGAUGAAUGCUAGCGGCGUGGAUAAGGCAUGCAAGUCGAACGCAUUUAGUUGCGUGGCAAACGAGGUAGUAAUACGCAGGUACGCACCGAAGAGUCUGGGAUAUUCCGUCGAAAGACGGCGCAAUACCAGAUGGCACGGCGACGUUAAAGGGGCAACCCGCUUUUUGAGCGGCCUGCGGGACAUCAGCUAGUUGGUAGGGUAAUGGCCUACCAAGGCGACGACGUCUAGGGGAGCUGAGAGGCUGACCCCCACCGAUGGAACUGAGACACGGUCCAUACACCUACGGGUGGCUGCAGUCGAGAAUAUUUGGCAAUGGGCGAAAGCCUGACCAUGCGACGCCGCGUGGUUGACGAAGUCCUUCGGGACGUAAAAACCUUUUACGCGUGAAGAAGUAAUUGACAUUAGCGCGUGAAUAAGGGGCUCCUAACUCUGUGCCAGCAGGAGCGGUAAUACAGAGGCCCCAAGCAUUAUCCGGAAUCACUGGGCGUAAAGGGUGUGUAGGCGGCUUUGUUAGUCCUUCGUAAAAGCACUCGGGCUUAACCCGGGUAAUGCGGUGGAAACGGCAAGGCUUGAGGACGCGAGAGGUACAGGGAACUCAUGGUGUAGGGGUGAAAUCCGUUGAUAUCAUGGGGAACACCAAAUGCGAAGGCCUGUACUGGCGCGCUCCUGACGCUGAAACACGAAAGCGUGGGAAUCGAACGGGAUUAGAUACCCUAGUAGUCC
RNAcentral lists this ribosomal RNA (743 nucleotides) under uncultured bacterium. RNAcentral's name for it is "bacterial SSU rRNA". It matches the Rfam family "Bacterial small subunit ribosomal RNA", at positions 8 to 796 of the family's 1533-position model. The record is from RNAcentral.